This is a long non-coding RNA of Gopherus flavomarginatus (Mexican gopher tortoise), 1036 nucleotides long. RefSeq lists it as uncharacterized. The record is from RefSeq and is a predicted model, not a curated record. NCBI's taxonomy places the organism in Eukaryota, Metazoa, Chordata, Testudines, Testudinidae. The transcript is spliced from 2 exons.
GUAUCACAAAGGCUAGAGACAGCUUUUACUCUCAGGUCUUGUGAUAACACUGAGGAGGAGAGACGGGCAACCAGCUCUUUCUGAAGUGACAGCUUGGGAGCAUUUUAACAUCUGGUUCCUGUGUUAUGAAGAGGGUUGGAGCCUUGUAAAACAACAUUGCUGCUCUGAAGGUCAAACAGAAACCAACUUUUUCCUCAAGGAACAUUUCUUAGGAGUUUGGGAUGGCUUAACAUCUGCUGCUUGCAGUUCUACGGUUAAUUUGUUAGGCGGCACAACCAAGAUUAUUUUUUUCUAAUAUUUUCAAUGUGUGUGUCUGCGGGUGACAUAUCUGUAAAUAUACAAGUUAGUUUGUAAGUAGAUUUAAAGAAGUGUAUCUAUAAAAUAGUAUCUCUAAAUUGGUUCCAAUGGGUGUGUGUUGUGGAUGAGGUGUUGCGGGGUUGUUUGUGUUAUAUGCCUUGCUGCUGAAAGAAUUUUAAAAGAAACUUGAAUAUAUGUCAGGGUGUUUGCCUCUGUGUGUGUGUUCGUGGGUUUAGAAGUAAGUUAGAUUGCACUACGUGAAAACGUGGACAUUUUAUCCAGUUCCAUCUCCCUUGAGAAUAGAUAAAUACAUUUUUUUUCUCAAUUUUUGUCCUGCUUGCAUGACCUUCAGUUUUAAUAAUGUAAAUUCUAGAACAUUACAAGUGCUUUUUCCAUUCACUAGUACAAAUAUACCAAAAAGGCAUAUGUUUAUGAGCUUGCACAUAUUUUCUGUGUGGCUUUAAAAUCAGAUAUGGCUUGUGUGUGGAUGUUAGAAAAUACAUGGAAGGGUUGUUUGAGGGGCCAAUCCCCCAGGACCUGUGGUCAUGGUGCUAGGCACACAUCUUGUUGUGUUGAUGGUAAAUAAGGAGAGAUGUUUGUUUGUUUGGAAUGUUUGUGACUACACCCAGUUGGCAUCUUGUCACUUUGACUGCAAAAAAAAAAAAAAAAAAAAAAAAAAAAUCAUCCAUGGAAAUGGAAUUGAAUAAUGAAUGUGAAUAAAAGAAAUACAAAAAAUGGA